GUCGAGCGGAUGAGAGGAGCUUGCUCCUGGAUUCAGCGGCGGACGGUUGAGUAAUGCCUAGGAAUCUGCCUGGUAGUGGGGGACAACGUUUCGAAAGGAACGCUAAUACCGCAUACGUCCUACGGGAGAAAGCAGGGGACCUUCGGGCCUUGCGCUAUCAGAUGAGCCUAGGUCGGAUUAGCUAGUUGGUGAGGUAAUGGCUCACCAAGGCGACGAUCCGUAACUGGUCUGAGAGGAUGAUCAGUCACACUGGAACUGAGACACGGUCCAGACUCCUACGGGAGGCAGCAGUGGGGAAUAUUGGACAAUGGGCGAAAGCCUGAUCCAGCCAUGCCGCGUGUGUGAAGAAGGUCUUCGGAUUGUAAAGCACUUUAAGUUGGGAGGAAGGGUUGUAGAUUAAUACUCUGCAAUUUUGACGUUACCGACAGAAUAAGCACCGGCUAACUCUGUGCCAGCAGCCGCGGUAAUACAGAGGGUGCAAGCGUUAAUCGGAAUUACUGGGCGUAAAGCGCGCGUAGGUGGUUUGUUAAGUUGGAUGUGAAAUCCCCGGGCUCAACCUGGGAACUGCAUCCAAAACUGGCAAGCUAGAGUAUGGUAGAGGGUGGUGGAAUUUCCUGUGUAGCGGUGAAAUGCGUAGAUAUAGGAAGGAACACCAGUGGCGAAGGCGACCACCUGGACUGAUACUGACC
Molecule: ribosomal RNA, 689 nt
Filed under: Pseudomonas sp. DT5
Lineage: Bacteria; Pseudomonadati; Pseudomonadota; Gammaproteobacteria; Pseudomonadales; Pseudomonadaceae
Description: bacterial SSU rRNA
Rfam family: Bacterial small subunit ribosomal RNA
Source: RNAcentral